UGAGGACAGAUAAUUUUGGGGGGAUGGAUACCGGAAAUUGAACCCAGGGGCACUCAACCACUGAGUCACAUUCCCAAUUUUAUUUAGAGACAGGGUCUCACUGAGUUGCUUAGCAUCUUGCCAUUGCUGAGGCUGGCUUUGAACUCACCAUCCUCUUGCCUUAGCUUCUUGAGCCGCUGGGAUUAUAGGCAUGCACCACCAUGCCUGGUGAGGGAAGAUAAAUUUUUAAUGCUGUAUUAUAAUUCAAUAUGUUUGUAAAGCAAUUCUUCUAUUGCCAUAUAUUUAGGUUGUUUCCAUUAUUAUAAAUCAUCCAUGAUCCAUGAUUUCUAAUCAUCCAUGAUUUAUAAUAGUUGAUCAUCAACCAUUAUAAAUCAUCAAUGGCUAAUACCAGCUCUUGUCUCUGCAGCAUCCCAAAGCAUGAACAGCUGACCUCCCUCUUUCCUGAAUCUCUGACCUUUAUAGCAUUGCAUUGACUCCUAAACCUGCAAAAUGAGUGCUCUCCAGGGUCCUGAACUAAGAUUCUACCUCCCUCUUGUCUCCAUCUUCUGCCUGGAAAAUGGGGAAGUACUUUAUCUCUUUUCCCUGCUCCUCUUCCUAAUUGUCUUUUUCACCCUUAUCUUUCCCUUCUUAUUACACACAUUUCCCCUUCCCCUUCUGUAACAGUUUCCUAGGGAUUCCAUAACAAAAAACAGGCUGGGUGACCUAACCAAGGAAGAUUUACAUUCUCACUUUCAUCCCAAGAUUGAAGUAUCCGAGGCCUCUUUCCUUGGCUUGUAGGCAGUUGUCUUCUCCCUGUGUGUGUAUCCACAUUUCUUCUUUAUAUAAGAAUGUAUAAGAAUAUUCAGUUAAGCCAAUCCUAGGAACAUAAUUUCAUUUUAACUUAUUUCUAUAAAGAUUCUAUCUAUAUAAGUUAUACUCCAUGUAUGUAUUAUGUGUCAAAAUAUACUGUCACAUAUAUCUAAAAAGAACAAAAAAAAGAUUAUAUCUAUAAAUGCAGUCACAUCUGGGGUACUGGGUUGGAAUUUCAACAUAUGGAAUUUAAGAAAAAUACAAUAAAGCCUAUAAUACUCUUCCUCUACUUUCUCCCCAUUUCCUUCCAAAUGUUGGCCAUUGGUUACCACUUUUAUUGGAUUCUCUUUGCCUUAGAGCUGAAGGGAUAGUUGUUGAUGAGAAACGCCCCACUGGAAUGAACUGCGGGGAGGAACUCCUUGACAACAGAUGAUAUUUCUAGCUCACUUUGCUUCUCACCUCUCCCUGGGGCCCCCUCAACACAUGUAUAUGUACACACCUCAGCAGGUAGUAUUGUUAAGGCAUAACUUUAUCCAACAUAACUCCAGCCCAGAGCUUGCUAUAACCUUGUAGGCCACAUUGCAAGGAGUCAUUCAUACAACUUUGGAAUUCAGAAGCCAUUCUAGAGCUAGUGUCAAUAUUUACAUCCUAUCAUCCACUUUAUCUCCCUCUUGCCAUCUUUUUAAUCUCCCAGGUUUUCUUCUUAUAAAAAAUUGAAUAAAUGUCAUUCAUAGCCAUGACAUUAAAUGUCAUCUCUCUGAAGUAUGUUUUACAAAUCUUCCCUCCAAUUUCAGAAACUGCAUUGGAUGUUGCCAUGUGUAUGUUCCAACUCAAAAGAUCCUGUACGGAGGAUGUGACAGUCCCAUCCAAACUAUUGUCUCCCCCUGGCUUUUCUAAGCCUGUUACUGACAACCAUUCUUUCACACACCCAGGUUUGAAUCUUUAGAGUCUUUUUUUUAAUGGACACAUAUCUUUAUUUUGUUUAUUUAUUUUUAUGUGGUGCUGGAAUUGAACCCAGUGACUCACAAGUGCAAGGCAAGCACUCUGCCACUGAGCCACCACCCCAGCCCACCUUAGAGUCAUUUUUAAGAACUUUUGAUUUUUUUCCUUCUAUGUGGAAUUAAGUGGCAAGUCCACAACAUGGUGACUCCCAAAGUAUACAUAAGAGUUAACCAGAGAGUCUUGUUGAAAAUGUGGAAUCCAAAGCCUUGCUCUCCAAAUAUUCCAGUCUAAUAGAUCUAAGAUGGUGUACAGGAGUGCCUCCAAGUGAUUCCACUCAUAUUGGCCUUGGACCACACUUUAAGAAAUAUUGCUGUAGAGCCUGCUUCUAAAAUGUCUUUGGUUCUCUUCUUCCUUCUCCUGACUCUGCUUAGUACAGGCUUCAUUUGCUCUUGCCUAACUUUAUAAUGGCCUCCUAAUUGAUCCAUGGGGCUUCCUUACCCCAUCCCACAUUGUGCUGCCAGAUUCAGCUUACUGAAUUACUAUCUCUGAAAUCUUUAAACCCCACCAUCAGUCCACCCCUCCACUGCCCAGACAGUCAAGUACAAGCUCCCAAGAUAGAAGAUCAAGACCAGUUCCCUGUCAUGAGUUUUCAAACCCUCUACUUUCUGCCAUGUGCCCUAUUUUUCAGUCAUACUAAAACCAUACUUUUUUCCAGGAAAAUAUCCUGAAUUCUCUUUCCUUGGUGCUUUAUGCUAUUACAUUUACUUGGAUUUUCCUUUUGUUUACAAAUAUCCACGCACCAAAAUCCCACCCAUAAUUUAAGACUCAUUUUAAAUACCACUUUUUUUAAAAAAAAACUAAAAUUUCAAUAUUUUUC
Molecule: long non-coding RNA, 2608 nt
Filed under: Marmota monax (woodchuck)
Lineage: Eukaryota; Metazoa; Chordata; Mammalia; Rodentia; Sciuridae
Source: RNAcentral